This 476-nucleotide ribosomal RNA is filed under the name uncultured bacterium. RNAcentral describes it as "partial 16S ribosomal RNA". It matches the Rfam family "Bacterial small subunit ribosomal RNA", at positions 28 to 523 of the family's 1533-position model. The record is from RNAcentral.
GAUGAGCGCUGGCGGCGUGCUUAACACAUGCAAGUCGAGCGAGUGAGUUCUUCGGAACGAUCUAGCGGCGGACGGGUGAGUAACACGUGGGCAACCUGCCUCAUAGAGGGGAAUGGCCUCCCGAAAGGGAGAUUAAUACCGCAUAACAUCGUUGAAGGGCAUCCUUCGAUGAUCGAAGGAGCAAUCCGCUAUGAGACGGGCCCGCGGCGCAUUAGCUAGUUGGUGAGGUAACGGCUCACCAAGGCGACGAUGCGUAGCCGACCUGAGAGGGGGAGCGGCCACAUUGGGACUGAGACACGGCCCAGACUCCUACGGGAGGCAGCAGUGGGGAAUAUUGCACAAUGGGGGAAACCCUGAUGCAGCAACGCCGCGUGAGUGAUGACGGCCUUCGGGUUGUAAAGCUCUGUCUUUGGGGACGAUAAUGACGGUACCCAAGGAGGAAGUCACGGCUAACUACGUGCCAGCCGCCGCGGUAA